UACGUAGGGUGCGAGCGUUAAUCGGAAUUACUGGGCGUAAAGCGUGCGCAGGCGGCGCGUUAAGACAGGUGUGAAAGCCCCGAGCUUAACUUGGGAAUUGCGCUUGUGACUGGCGGGCUGGAGUGUGGCAGAGGGAGGUGGAAUUCCUGGUGUAGCGGUGAAAUGCGCAGAUAUCAGGAGGAACACCAAUGGCGAAGGCAGCUCGCUGGAACGGUACUGACGCUGUGGCGCGAAAGCUAGGGGAGCGAACAGG
This 253-nucleotide ribosomal RNA is filed under the name uncultured bacterium. Its description in RNAcentral is "partial 16S ribosomal RNA". It matches the Rfam family "Bacterial small subunit ribosomal RNA", at positions 524 to 776 of the family's 1533-position model. The record is from RNAcentral.